UACGGAGGAUGCGAGCGUUAUCCGGAUUUAUUGGAUUUAAAGGGUGCGUAGGCGGGCUUUUAAGUCAGCGGUAAAAAUUCGGGGCUCAACCCCGUCCGGCCGUUGAAACUGGGGGCCUUGAGUGGGCGAGAAGAAGGCGGAAUGCGUGGUGUAGCGGUGAAAUGCAUAGAUAUCACGCAGAACCCCGAUUGCGAAAGCAGCCUUCCGGCGCCCUACUGACGCUGAGGCACGAAAGUGCGGGGAUCGAACAGG
RNAcentral lists this ribosomal RNA (252 nucleotides) under uncultured bacterium. Its description in RNAcentral is "partial 16S ribosomal RNA". It matches the Rfam family "Bacterial small subunit ribosomal RNA", at positions 524 to 776 of the family's 1533-position model. The record is from RNAcentral.